UACGUAGGUGGCAAGCGUUGUCCGGAUUUACUGGGCGUAAAGAGCGCGCAGGCGGCUGGUCAAGUCCGAUGUGAAAUCUCCCGGCUUAACUGGGAAACUGCAUCGGAAACUGAUCGGCUUGAAGGUGGGAGAGGGUAGUGGAAUUCCCGGUGUAGGAGUGAAAUCCGUAGAUAUCUGGAGGAAUACCGGAGGCGAAGGCGGCCAACUGGGAAUGCAUUGACACUGAGGUGCGAAAGCGUGGGGAGCAAACAGG
RNAcentral lists this ribosomal RNA (253 nucleotides) under uncultured bacterium. RNAcentral's name for it is "partial 16S ribosomal RNA". It matches the Rfam family "Bacterial small subunit ribosomal RNA", at positions 524 to 776 of the family's 1533-position model. The record is from RNAcentral.